UCUAAUCAUCUGUUGUCUUUAACAGUGAGCGGCCGGGUGCAGGAGGGAGAGGAAGUUUGGAGAGGGACUGAAACGUCUUGGAGAGAACGUAUCACCGAUGAGUGUGUUGAAAAACAUUAAAUCUGUUGUAGCCUACAACUCUGUACGCUUGGCUACUUUGACGUGCGUAUUCGUGGAACCGCAAGACAGCGACUUCUACAACGUGCGUCACCUCGCCAACAGAGUUUGAGAGAGCCUGGACAAUCUUCUCAUGUGCUGUGGCCACCACACUCUGCCCGUUGAUCUCGAUGAUCCGGUGGCCAACCCGGACCCCUCCUCGCUCAGCUAUGCCCCCCCGCAUAAGACUGCAUAUCUGGGAGGAACACAAAAAAGGUGGCGAGCGGCAGCCCUACGAGGCUGGUGUUGUUGAUGGACAUGAUCUGAUCGCCGAUGCUCAACUUGCCUGAGCGUGCCGCUGGGGCGCCGUUCAUCAUGUUGGCUAAGAUGACCGUGGGGAGGAUGGAACCCCA
Nerophis lumbriciformis (worm pipefish) is the source of this 509-nucleotide long non-coding RNA. RefSeq lists it as uncharacterized. NCBI's taxonomy places the organism in Eukaryota, Metazoa, Chordata, Actinopteri, Syngnathiformes, Syngnathidae. The record is from RefSeq and is a predicted model, not a curated record.